GACGAACGCUGGCGGCGUGCUUAACACAUGCAAGUCGAGCGGUAAGGCCCUUCGGGGUACACGAGCGGCGAACGGGUGAGUAACACGUGGGUGACCUGCCUCUAGCUCUGGGAUAAGCCUGGGAAACUGGGUCUAAUACCGGAUAUGACUCCACGGCGCAUGUUGUGGGGUGGAAAGCCUUGUGUGGCUAGAGAUGGGCCCGCGGCCUAUCAGCUUGCUGGUGGGGNGAUGGCCUACCAAGGCGACGACGGGUAGCCGGCCUGAGAGGGCGACCGGCCACACUGGGACUGAGACACGGCCCAGACUCCUACGGGAGGCAGCAGUGGGGAAUCUUGCGCAAUGGGCGAAAGCCUGACGCAGCGACGCCGCGUGAGGGA
Molecule: ribosomal RNA, 377 nt
Filed under: uncultured bacterium
Lineage: Bacteria
Description: bacterial SSU rRNA
Rfam family: Bacterial small subunit ribosomal RNA
Source: RNAcentral